CAGCCGCCGCGGUAAGACGAACCGUGCGAACGUUAUUCGGAAUUACUGGGCUUAAAGCGCGUGUAGGCGGAUCGCCACGUCGGUCGCUGAAAUCCCCCGGCUCAACCGGGGAACGGGCGCCGAUACGGGCGGUCUCGAGGGGGGUAGGGGGGACUGGAACUUCCGGUGGAGCGGUGAAAUGCGUUGAGAUCGGAAGGAACGCCCGUGGCGAAAGCGAGGCCCUGGACCCUUUCUGACGCUGAGACGCGAAAGCCAGGGGAGCGAACGGGAUUAGAUACCCGCGUAGUCCCUGUCUCUUAUA
RNAcentral lists this ribosomal RNA (301 nucleotides) under uncultured bacterium. RNAcentral's name for it is "partial 16S ribosomal RNA". It matches the Rfam family "Bacterial small subunit ribosomal RNA", at positions 509 to 807 of the family's 1533-position model. The record is from RNAcentral.